GUGCUCAUUUCGUCAGUACAUACACUAAAACUGGAACGAUACAGAGAAGAUUAGCAUGGCCUGCACAAACAAGGCUGACACACAACUUCACAGUGUUCCAUAUUCUU
Small nuclear RNA from Jaculus jaculus (lesser Egyptian jerboa), 107 nucleotides. The record is from Ensembl. Lineage: Eukaryota; Metazoa; Chordata; Mammalia; Rodentia; Dipodidae.